This 201-nucleotide long non-coding RNA is filed under the name Elaeis guineensis (African oil palm). RNAcentral's name for it is "long non-coding RNA (EGUI_LNC036912)". The record is from RNAcentral. Lineage: Eukaryota; Viridiplantae; Streptophyta; Magnoliopsida; Arecales; Arecaceae.
UUAUGAAUUAAACUUGUUUAUAUUAUUGUUCACAGUACUGUAGUUUAUUACUGUAGCAUAUGCACUGUGCAGUACUGUAACAAAAAUAUUGUGCAAUACUGUUGCAUACUGUAGUAUGUUACUAUAGCAUGAUGGUAAACCAUCCGAAUGCUACCGAGGCUAUGAAGUAAAUAACGGAUUAGUCUUAAGGAUAAAUAACCC